UUGUUUUGGAACUCUAGAUGAUAAUUUUUUUGAGAAGAUACAAAUUAACAUUUAAAUUAAAAAAAAUGUAGUAUUGUAUUCAGUUAUAAUAAAUUAAAAAUGAUAAAUUAAGUAGGCAUGGAAGAAAAUUCAUCUUGUAUUUAUUGUUACCACAAAGUAAAAGUUGUGUAGACGUUAGGCGGGAUCAUUUGGAUAUAAUAUUAAAUCUCUGCGUCACGUCCGUCAUGAAUCUCCUUGAAUGCUAGAAAUGAAAACUGACAAAUCAAUAUCCUAAUAUGUAUUCUGUAUUCUCUGGGAUCAGCUCUUGCUUGGUAUUGGGGCCUCAAAACCAAGGAAAAUGCUUGAGUUGAGAUGAUAAAUUGUCCAAAAACAACGACAAACAAAGAGAGCUAUAUAUUUGAAUACCAGCAACAACCCCACCUCUACAUCAACCAGAACCCGACCAUAAAGAGCUGAGCCUCGAUGCAAGUUUCGC
RNAcentral lists this long non-coding RNA (475 nucleotides) under Gossypium barbadense (sea-island cotton). RNAcentral describes it as "long non-coding RNA (GBAR_LNC022106)". The record is from RNAcentral. Lineage: Eukaryota; Viridiplantae; Streptophyta; Magnoliopsida; Malvales; Malvaceae.